This 500-nucleotide ribosomal RNA is filed under the name uncultured bacterium. RNAcentral's name for it is "partial 16S ribosomal RNA". It matches the Rfam family "Bacterial small subunit ribosomal RNA", at positions 29 to 523 of the family's 1533-position model. The record is from RNAcentral.
AUUGAACGCUGGCGGAAUGCUUUACACAUGCAAGUCGAACGGCAGCACGGGGGCAACCCUGGUGGCGAGUGGCGAACGGGUGAGUAAUACAUCGGAACGUGCCCAGUCGUGGGGGAUAACGUAGCGAAAGUUACGCUAAUACCGCAUACGAUCUACGGAUGAAAGCGGGGGACCGUAAGGCCUCGCGCGAUUGGAGCGGCCGAUGUCGGAUUAGGUAGUUGGUGAGGUAAAGGCUCACCAAGCCGACGAUCUGUAGCUGGUCUGAGAGGACGACCAGCCACACGGGGGCUGAGGCACGGCACAGACUCCUACGGGAAGCAGCAGUGGGGAAGUUUGGACAAUGGGCGCAAGCCUGGUCCAGCCAUUCCGCGUGCAGGACGAAGGCCUUCGGGUUGUAAACUGCUUUUGUACGGAACGAAAAGGCUCUGAUUAAUACCUGGGGCUCAUGACGGUACCGUAAGAAUAAGCACCGGCUAACUACGUGCCAGCCGCCGCCGUAA